GCCGUUGAGGGAUGAUGAUGACUUAAUCUCUUAUAUCCUCAACGGGCUUGACAUGGAGUACCAGCCAUUGGUGUCCGCCCUUGACGCGCGCACCACUCCGGUCACCCUCGACGAGCUGUUCGGGCAGAUGAGCAACUUCGACC
Non-coding RNA from Triticum aestivum (bread wheat), 143 nucleotides. Lineage: Eukaryota; Viridiplantae; Streptophyta; Magnoliopsida; Poales; Poaceae. The record is from Rfam.